Long non-coding RNA from Oxyura jamaicensis (ruddy duck), 1073 nucleotides. RefSeq lists it as uncharacterized. The record is from RefSeq and is a predicted model, not a curated record. The transcript has 10 exons. Lineage: Eukaryota; Metazoa; Chordata; Aves; Anseriformes; Anatidae.
GGGGAGCAAAAUACAUCCAGGGAAUAUUAUAAACUCUUCUGGUCAAGGUCCCUGUUUUUAUGGCCCACUUGUAUUCAGUGAGGUUAAAGAAGUUCCAGAGAUCACACCCAAGAAAACGAUUAUCCAAAGAUGAUGUAUCUUUGCUCAGAUUUCAUACCACCAUGGAUGAGUGCUGUCUGUAACAGGGAGUAGAAAACUGUUGUGUCUAAGUAGAGAAAGGAUUCUUAGGAUGAGAGACAUGCCUCUGGAGAGAUGCAGAGAAAUGCAGCAGCAGGCAGGGAGGGAGAGAUAGAACUGCAGCACAAGAUAGGCCCUGCCUUGCACCUGUCAUUACUGCCUGUCUGCUCCCAGCAUGCCUGAAUUAACUGUCAUAGGGACAGGACAGCGAUGGCAUGCAACUUUGAGGAGAGGACCUGUUUAUCCUCUGCCUUCUGAUAACUGGCUGGAACUAAAGCAGCAGUAAUUUGAAGGAAAAGAGAAUGUGAAAUGAGUCAUGAGAAGGGAGCAGACUGGAUAACAUUGGUUCUGCUUCCCUCUUCCUGCCCUGCAUGAAGUGUGUGGCCCAGAUUGAGCAAGGGAAGCUGGUAUGGAAGUCCAUUCUCCUCUCCAGAGUAACCUGUCAUCAGCCAGCUUUUUUGUACCAUGUCCUGCACCAUUCCCUCAGCUGAAUCUCUUGGGCAGUGAAAGAAUAUGUACCUGUGCCCCUAUAACAUGGCCUUGGGCAGCGGAAGGGUUUAUACAUCCCAUAUGGAGCUUUAUGACUUCAGUUUGAUACUACGCUGGACCUCAUAAGCAUGCCUCACACAGUGUGUGCACUGUUUCCACUUGGCAUAUGCCUGGUUGGCUUCUCAGAGAGAGCAGUGCACUUCCCUCCUCACCCAGCGGAUGCUGUGCUGCUGCCUUCGGUGCCAUCCUCAAUCCCUGCUCUGAACACGAACCCCACAUUUCCUCAUAGACUUCUCAGAGAUCUGUUGACACUGUCCUAUUCAAGCAGAUGGAAAAAAUGAUGGCUGUGACAGAAAGGACAAGCUUCUUUCAAGUCUUUUUUUUUUUUUCCCAACAAGGUAAGAAUG